GGAAGGAUGGCCGAGCGGUUUAAGGCGCCGGUCUUGAAAACCGGUGUGCGGUUAAUCCGCACCGUGGGUUCGAAUCCCACUCCUUCCG
Non-coding RNA from Elusimicrobia bacterium GWA2_62_23, 88 nucleotides. NCBI's taxonomy places the organism in Bacteria, Pseudomonadati, Elusimicrobiota. The record is from Rfam.